Molecule: ribosomal RNA, 462 nt
Filed under: uncultured bacterium
Lineage: Bacteria
Description: SSU rRNA
Rfam family: Bacterial small subunit ribosomal RNA
Source: RNAcentral
AGAAUCAACGCUGGCGGCGUGCCUAACACAUGCAAGUCGCACGAGAAAGGGGAGCAAUCCCUGAGUACAGUGGCGCACGGGUGAGUAACACGUGAAUCAUCUACCUCCGAGUGGGGAAUAACUGAGAGAAAUCUUAGCUAAUACCGCAUAAUACCCACGGGUCAAAGCAGCAAUGCGCUUGGAGAGGAGUUCGCGGCAGAUUAGUUAGUUGGCGGGGUAAUGGCCCACCAAGACGAUGAUCUGUAUCCGGCCUGAGAGGGCGCACGGGACACACUGGAACUGAAACACGGUCCAGACUCCUACGGGAGGCAGCAGUGGGGAAUUUUUGCGCAAUGGGGGAAACCCUGACGCAGCAACGCCGCGUGGAGGAUGAAGCCCCUUGGGGUGUAAACUCCUUUCGAUCGGGAAGAUAAUGACGGUACCGAUAUAAGAAGCCCCGGCUAACUUCGCGCCAGCAGCCGC